AUUUUUGUUUUCGUAGUAUGUUUGUUUGGCUAUUAAUUGCAGGCUUUUUUUGCCACGUUUUUAUUCAUUGGUUUAAGUAACAUGUAUUCUCCGAGAGGCAGCAAUGCUUAAGGUGCCCAAUCUGGCUAUGCUCAAUGUCUGGGAAUGACCUAUUCUGGGAGCUCUGUUGGGGGCUCUCAACAUUCAUUGGCCUCGAGGCAUUCAUCGAUUCUAGGUGGUCCUCAGGAGGCUGAUGUUGAUGGAUACAUAGAUUAUGCUUCAGCCACAUCACAUUUUGAGGGCAAUACAGAGCUGUUUAUGGCUCAGCUUCCAUGAGUGGUGCUCAACAGUCUGAUAUGAAAGCUGAGAAGGACUGCAGUGAGGAUCAACCAAAGAAUACUUCAGAUACCAUCAGUCCUGUAGUUACACAAGGUACCGGUAUCAAAACUACCAUAAAAAGGAAAAUAAUUAAGAAAGUAAUGAAAAGAAAGCUCAAUGGUUCAGGAGGAGCCAGUGGUGGGACCGGCCCCAGUUGCAGAGAAGCAAGCUAGGUGUGCCUAAUUCAGGCGAGAUGAAGGAUCUCAUGGAGGAUAAGAAGGAUGAAAAGGAAAUUGACCAGAAAAGCAGCUCAGGGACUAAAACUGAAGUUAAGGCUGAUAAGCAAAAGGUUGCCCUGAAGGAUAACGCUAAUAGUAAGGGAGGAAAGUUGAAGGGUUAUGGAAGAUUGAAGGAAGAUAACAAGGAAAAAGGUGAAAAAGAUGAGUCCUGGAACAAAUCAAAUAAAGAAGGAAAGGAAAAGAGGAAGCCUGAAGAACCUCCUAGACGCCCUGGACUUAUUUUGAAAACAAAAGGCAACAAGGAAGGAAAAAUAGGUUUUGAUUAUUGCUUGGCACAUAUUUAUGCUACUACCUGCUACAUUAAUUGCAAGUGUUGUCCAAAAAAAAGACCAAUAAUAUGAAACACUUUGCCUUCACUUAAUAUUAUUGCCUAAUGAUACAUUCUGUGCCACAGCUGUGCUCUUUAUCACUUUCCCUGGACGCACUUUUGGAUUACACUGGUAAGGAUGUUGAGGAAUCAAUAUUUGAGCUCUCACUGUUUGCUGAAUCACUAUAUGAGAUGCUUCAGUAUCAAAUGGGAUCUCGUCUUUUGAUGUUUCUCCAGAAGCUACAAAUAAAAUUCGUAAGAAAAAGAAAUCAAUGCAAGAGGCAGUGGGGGGCCAUGGAUGUGAAGGACGACAAGAAAUCAUUAGGAAGGCGCCUGAAGACUAGUGAGCUCUACCUCUGAAAGCUAAAUCUGCUAACAGUGAAAUGUCAAGUGCAGAUCAGCCGGAUGACGAAAAAACUGUCAUGGAGGAGGAUACUUCUGUUGAUCCUAUUAAUAAGCCGAAGCAGGAAGAAGAAAGUGAAGCUGAGGAAGACCCAGAGGAAGAUCCUGAAGAAUGUGAAGAAAUGGAGGAUCCUGAAGAAUAUGAACAAAUGGAUGGCCCUGGGCAUGACUCAUCUAACGAGAAAUGAUGAGAGGAGGAUCAGUGGGGAUGCUGAGCAUGAACCUCGGGCUGGUGAUGAAAGAGACAAAGACAGAGGAAGCAAUUGAGGACAAAACUGACUUGAAAGAUUCAGGUACAAAACCCAAGUCUGUUGCAGAUUUGUCUGGAAAAAAAAGAUGACAAGGUGGAGACAGAAGAAAGAGCUGUCUGGGAAGGAGGCUGUGAUUGAUAAGGAAUUAUUGGAGGCUUUCAGGUGUUUUGACUGGAAUCAAACUGGCUAAAUCAGGGUCGAAGACAUGAGGUUGAUUAUACACAGCUUGGGGACAUUUUUUCCUACACGGAAAUCAAGGAACUUGUGCAAAGUGCUUUGUUGGAGAGCAACACUGGGAGGGAUGACUGCAUUCUCUAUAAUAAGCUGGUCAGAAUGAAUCAUUUGAUAUUAUAGGUUUUCAGGUUGCCCUGGUCUGUACUGCAGUCACCCUGCUGUUACAAUGCACCUUUGCUCCUUCGAGAGUGCAUGUAACUGUAUUAGUUUUGAGGUCACCAUAUCUUACUGUCAACAGAAAUUAUUUAUAACUUUACUUUUGUAAUGGGGGAAAAAUAGAUUACAUUAUUUCUUGGUAAUGAAAAAGAAAAUGGCAGGUAUUGAUGAUAAUGAAGUAUUUUCAUAUGCCUAA
Populus euphratica (Euphrates poplar) is the source of this 2142-nucleotide long non-coding RNA. RefSeq lists it as uncharacterized. The record is from RefSeq and is a predicted model, not a curated record. The transcript has 9 exons. NCBI's taxonomy places the organism in Eukaryota, Viridiplantae, Streptophyta, Magnoliopsida, Malpighiales, Salicaceae.